Molecule: ribosomal RNA, 446 nt
Filed under: uncultured bacterium
Lineage: Bacteria
Description: bacterial SSU rRNA
Rfam family: Bacterial small subunit ribosomal RNA
Source: RNAcentral
CGCCAGACUCCUACGGGAGGCAGCAGUGGGGAAUAUUGGGCAAUGGGCGCAAGCCUGACCCAGCAACGCCGCGUGAAGGAAGAAGGCUUUCGGGUUGUAAACUUCUUUUCUGAGGGACGAUAGUGACGGUACCUCAGGAAUAAGCCACGGCUAACUACGUGCCAGCAGCCGCGGUAAUACGUAGGUGGCAAGCGUUAUCCGGAUUUACUGGGUGUAAAGGGCGUGUAGGCGGGAUGGUAAGUCAGAUGUGAAAACUAUGGGCUCAACCCAUAGCCUGCAUUUGAAACUAUCGUUCUUGAGUGUUGGAGAGGCAAGCGGAAUUCCGUGUGUAGCGGUGAAAUGCGUAGAUAUACGGAGGAACACCAGUGGCGAAGGCGGAUUGCUGGACAGUAACUGACGCUGAGGCGCGAAAGCGUGGGGAGCAAACAGGAUUAGAUACCCGGGUA